This 440-nucleotide ribosomal RNA is filed under the name uncultured bacterium. RNAcentral describes it as "partial 16S ribosomal RNA". It matches the Rfam family "Bacterial small subunit ribosomal RNA", at positions 338 to 795 of the family's 1533-position model. The record is from RNAcentral.
CCUACGGGUGGCAGCAGUGGGGGAUAUUGCACAAUGGGGGGAACCCUGAUGCAGCGACGCCGCGUGGGUGAAGAAGCGCCUCGGCGCGUAAAGCUCUGUCAUCAGGGAAGAAAAUGACGGUACCUGACGAAGAAGCUCCGGCUAACUACGUGCCAGCAGCCGAGGUAAUACGGAGGGGGCAAGCGUUAGGCGGAUUUACUGGGUGGAAAGGGGGCGCAGACGGCGCUGCAAGCCAGGAGGGAAAGCCCGGGGCCCAACCCCGGGACUGCUCUUGAAACUGCGUGGCUGGAGUGCAGGAGGGGAAGGCGGAAUUCCUGGUGUAGCGGUGAAAUGCGUAGAGAUAAGGAGGAACACCAGUGGCGAAGGCGACCUGCUGGACUGCAACUGACGUUGAGGCGCGAAAGCGUGGGGAGCAAACAGGAUUAGAUACCCGUGUAGUC